RNAcentral lists this long non-coding RNA (536 nucleotides) under Gallus gallus (chicken). Lineage: Eukaryota; Metazoa; Chordata; Aves; Galliformes; Phasianidae. The record is from RNAcentral.
CAGAAGAUCCAGCUGCUACAUAGGAGUAUGAGCCCCGGGCCCACGGAUCAGCACGCCAACGGGAGACCACAGUCUCUUUGGGCUGUGGCACAGCACUGCUACCAAAUAUGCCUUUGAGGAUGGCGAGACAUCGUCCAACAAUGACAUCAUCACUGAUAUUCUCCAUGAUUCCUGCUGCUUCUCCUGCUACCAAGGCCAGCAAGAUGGGUGCUAACCAGGAAAAGGGUGGGCGAGAGAAUAUAAGUGAAUUAUUCAAAUCCUAACAUUUCAACCAGACAAGUCUGACUAUUAUCUGCAGCUAAAUCACAAGGCUAAAAAACCCAACAAAUUAAACAGGUAAUAAUAUUUCUCAAUCAUCCCCUACCACGUUGAAUUACCAAGAUGAAAACAGAUGAAUAUACACUAAUACUUGAAAUUAUCAAGAAAACUGAUGUAUAGAAAACCAGUACAUCAGGAGGGACAGCAUGUAGAAGAGGGGAAAGGAUUUAUUUGGGAGAAGACAUUGACAUUUACACCAGCAUUUAACAGUCAUCUGU